ACAAUAUCCAUAGUAGUCUGGGCAAAAGCCUUCAAAGCUUACCGUAAUUAAGAAUGGUCUUAAAUUCUA
RNAcentral lists this transfer RNA (69 nucleotides) under Daphnia magna. Its description in RNAcentral is "tRNA-Trp". The record is from RNAcentral. Lineage: Eukaryota; Metazoa; Arthropoda; Branchiopoda; Diplostraca; Daphniidae.